RNAcentral lists this long non-coding RNA (22960 nucleotides) under Capsicum annuum. Its description in RNAcentral is "long non-coding RNA (CANN_LNC019076)". The record is from RNAcentral. Lineage: Eukaryota; Viridiplantae; Streptophyta; Magnoliopsida; Solanales; Solanaceae.
AAGAUGAGAUACUAAGAAUACUGAGAUCAUACACUUAAUACUUAGAAGUUGAAUCAUGAUUAAAUAACUAAGUCUAAAACAUAAUACAUGGACUGAACUGAAUUCAUAAAUGCAUACAACGACAAGAGGAUAUUUAUAUAGCUGAAAUAUAAAAUGAGAGAAUCACUUAAGGAAAACAUUAACUCACGCUAAGAAACGAUGGGGAUACUUAACUCACAUAUUUGUUUCUUCUUCCCAUGUUGAUCCCUCAACGGACUGAUUUCACCAUAUAAUCUUAACCAAGGGAACUUCUUUAUUCCCCAGCCUACAAAUAUGAUGAUCAAGGAUCUCAAUUGGGACUUCUUAGUAUGAGAGAACAUCUUUGACAUCCACACUGUCUAAAGGAACAACAGAAUCUGAAUCAUCAAUACAUUUCAUUAGCAAGGAGACAUGAAAUAGGAGAAGCACUGAUUUCAAAUCUACAUGCAAUUCUAAUGGAUAUAAGAGAUUGUACACUUCAUACUUAGAACUGAAUCUGAAUUAAAUAACUAAGUCUAAAACAUGAUACAUGGACUGAACUGAAUUCAUGAAUACAUGCAAUGACAAGAGGAUGGUUAGAUAGAAGAAAUAGAAAAUGAGAGAAUCACUUAAGAAAAAACAUUACUUUACGCUAGAUCUGAAUUCAUAAAGAAAAUAUGGGGAUACUUAGCUCAUAUAUCUGUUUCUUCUUCCCAAGUAACUCCCUUAACGAACUAAUUUUGCCAUUGAACCUUAACCAAGGGAACUUCUUUGUUCCUCAACUAACGAAUCUGAAGGUCAAGGAGCUCAACUGGGACUUUUUCAUAUGAGACACUUUCACAUCCACACUAUCUAAAGGAACAAUAGAAUUUGAGUCACCAAUAUAUUUCAUUAGCAAGGUGACAUGAAACACCAGAUGCACUGAUGCCAAAUCAACAUGCAACUAUAAAUCAUAUGCUACCUUCCCAUAAAGGCUCAAAAUCCUGUAUGGACUAAUAUAGCGAGGACCGAGCUUCCCCUAUUUUCCAAAUCUCUUCACCCCUUUCUUAGGUGAUAUUUUCAAAUAAACCAAGUCGUCAACAUCAAAUUCAAGAUCUCUUUUCCUUAUAUCUUCAUAAUAUUUCUGACAACUCUAGGCUAUCUUUAGCCUCUUUUAAAUCAAUCAAACUUCCUCCAUCACCUCAAAAACUAAAUUUGUCCCUAUCAAAGCAACCUCACCUACUUAAAACCAAAUAAUGAAAGAUCCAUAUCUUCUCCCAUAGAGAGCCUCAAAUAGAGCCAUAUAAAUACAAGAGUGAUAGUUAUUAUUGUAGGCAAACUCAAUCAAAGGUAAAUGGUCAUCCCAACUACCCUUGAAGUCAGUAACAAAAGCCCUCAAUAUGUCCUCUAAGGUCUGAAUGGUCUCCUCUGCCUAACCAUAGUUCGAAGGAUAAAAUAGCCAACUGAGAUGCACUUAGGUACCAAGACCCUUCUAGAAAGCCUUCCAAAAAAGAGAGGUAACCUGAUUAACUCUAUCUAAAAUAAUGGUCAAUGGAUUUCUAGCAACUUUUCCAACUCCUGAGAUAGGGCCUAACAUCAGUUGAGCAUAAAGUAUGAACUGGCAAGAAAUGAUCUUACUUGGCCAUUCGGUCUAUAAUGACCCAUAUAAAAUCAUGAUGACAAUGCAUUUGAGGAAACCCUAUCACAAAAUCCAUAUUCAUUACUUCCCACUUCCAGGGGGUAUUCUAUACUCCUAAAGUAUACCACUAGGCCUUCAUGGCCAACCUUAACCUACUGAUAAUCCUCACACUUAGCCACAAACUCUGUAAUAUUAUUUUUUCAUACCACUCCACCAUUGAUUUCCCACAAAUCACGGUACAUCUUAGUGGCUCCUUGGUGAAUAGAAUAUCACAUACCAUGUACCUCAGCUAAAAUUCACUACCUUAGACUGUCAACACAAGAAAUACAUAGUCUUCCUUGAUAAUGAAAUACACUAUCCUCACUUGGGAGAAUACCUCAACCUUCUAAUCCCUGACUAUCUCCUUUAACUUGACAAAAAUAAUACCCCUGUCUUUCUUUUCUUUUACUUUUCUACCAAUGAGGAUUCCGAACCAUUCUGAACCCAUAAACUACCUUUAGCUAAAUCAACCAACUGAACACCUAACCUAGCAAACAGAUGUACUUCAACAAACACCUCCUUCUUAUCUUUCUCAACAUGUGCAACACUUUUCAUAGAUAAUCUACUAAGGGAAUCAACCACUACAUUGGCCUUACCGAUCAACACACUUAUAUCACUGUCUUUUAACAAUUCAAGCUAGCUUCUAUGAUGAAGAUUAAGUUCUUUCAGUGUGAACACAUACAAUAACAAUUAUUAUCCAUGAACACAUAACCAUGAACCCCAUAAAGGUAAUUUCUCUAAAUCUUUAAGGAAAAGAAAACUCCUACCAACUCAAGGUCUUAGGUUUGGUAAUUUUUCUCAUGGAGUUUAAUAUGUCUAAAGUCAUAGGCUAUGACCUUACAUCACUGCAUUAACACAUACCCAAGACCAACUCUAGAAGAAUUAUAGUAUACCAUAAACCCAUCUAUUCCAUCUGGCAAAGUCAAGACUAGAGCGGAUAUUAGUCGAGUCAUUAUCUCUUGAAAACUCUUCUCGUAGAAAUCUGACCACUAAAAUUUAACUUUCUUUUGGGUUAUGUGAGACAUAAGAGAAGAAAUAAAAGAAAAUCCUUCAAAAAACCAUCUAUUGUAACCAUCUAAACAAAAUAAAUUUCUAAUAUCUGAUGAAGAGAUGGGUCUAGGCCAGUAUCUUACUACUUAGGUCUAUUAAAGAUCAACUUGAAUGUUAUCACCAAAAAUAAUGUGACCAAGGAAAUCUAUUGAUCUCAACAAGAAUUUUUACUUAUUGAACUUAGCAAAAAACUAGCGAUCCUUAAGGAUCUACAAUACAACCUUAAAUGGUCUUCAUAAUCACUCUCACUAUGGGAAUAGAUAAGAGUGUCAUUAGUGAAGACUAUGACUAACAUGUCCAAGUACUGCUUGAACAACCUGUUCAUCAAAUACAUAAAAGUUGUAGGGGCAUUCGUUAGUCCAAAAGACAUAACUAGGAAUUCAAAGUGACCAUACCAAGUCCUGAAGGUUGUCUUUUGAGUGUCACAUUCUCUAACUCUAAGCUGAUGAUAGCCAGCUCUAAGGUCUAUCUUAGAGAAAUAGCUUGCACCCUAAAGUUGGCUGAAUAUGUAAUCAAUUCUAGGGAGAGGAUAAGUAUUCUUAAUUGUAACUACGUUCAAUUAAUGGUAGUCAUUGCAUAUUCUGAGAAAACCAUCUUUCUUGCACAUGAAAAGAACUGGAGCACCCAAUGGGGAAAUACUAGGAGGGAUGAAACCCUUAUCUAAAAGAUCUUCAACUAUUUCUUAAAUUCCUUAAGCUCAGUUGGAGCCAUUAUGUAAUGUGGAAUAGAGAUAGGCUGGAUACCUAGCAGGAGAUAUAUUCUAAAAUUAAUUUCCAUUUCGUGAGGAACUCCAGGAAGAUCUUCAGAAAACACAUCUAUAAAUUCAUUCAACACUAGAACCAACUCAAGACUCAAAGUUUCAAAAUUUGAGUCCUUGACACAAAUGAGAUGGUAUAUACAUCCCUUUGAUAUUAUAUUUUUAGACUUAAGAUAGGAGGCAAAUUGACCCUUAAGCACAAAAGCACUACCCCUCAAUUCAAUAACUAUUUCAUUAGGAAACUGGAAUAGAGCAAUUUUAUUUCUACAAUCAAUUGAGUUAUAGCAUGAGCAGAUCCAAUCCAUGCUGAGAAUGACAUCAAAAUCAUUCAUCUCUAACUCCACCAAAUCAACUAAAGUAACUUUCUUAGAAAAUAUAAUCAGGUAAUUUCUAUAAACCCAUCUAACUACAAUAGACUUACCAACUAGGGAAGAAACUAAGAAAGGCUCUACUAGUGUUUCGAUACUAACAGUAAAGUCCAAAGCUAUAUAAGGACUUAUAAAAUAAAGUAAAGCUUUAGGGUCUAUCAAUGCAUAAAUAUAAAUAUGGAAGACUUGAAACGUACUCAUAACUAAUCAGCAAAAUUCUCCUGAUUAUUUCAAGUUUGGUAAGCAUAAAGGUGGUUCUGACGAUACCUACUGGUGGUACUUGAUGUGGCACCCUGCUGAGUUGGGUGACCUUUUGAAGCUGAUGAAAAGUUGGACUGGCCCUAUUGAAACAAAUCCUUUCUACUCUGAACAACCACUAAAAAAUCCAUGAUUCUAUGUCAUAGUUGUUAAAUCCAAAACAUAUAUCACUACCCCCUUUGCAUUUACCUUGAUGAUUUUUACCACACUUCCAGUAAAGAAGAUUAGUGGAACUACUAUUCAUACUACAUUGAGACUUAGAACAUGUCGCUCUAUCCUGACUGUCCUUCCUAAACUAAGGCACUGGUGUACUAGUUAAAGAUUGGCAGGAGGUAAAAUUUUUUGGUAGAACUGAGAAUGGUUCUCGCCUUCAAACAUUGACUGAGAAAAGUUAAAUCUACUUAUUCUAGGCCUCUUAUUCUAGCUUUUCUUUUCCUUGAUCUUCUCCUUCUCAAUUGGCUAAGCAUGAACUAUCAGCCUAGAAAGGCCCAUCUCCUAAAUUAACAUGGUUGUCCUACACUCCUUUACUACACUAUCAGACACACCAGACACAAACUUGCUUAUCUUAAACCUGGAGUCGGGAACCAUAGUUGAAGAAUAUCUUACCAACUGAGUAAACUUAAGUGAGUAUUCCCACACACUCUGGUUACCCUAAUUAAGAUUUAUGAACUCUUGUACCUUAUUCUCGCUAUACUCAGUGGGAUAAACCUAUCUAUAAAGGUCAUGGCAGACUUCUCCUACUCUAUAAGCCCUGCCUUAUCACACCGGUCCUUCUUCCACUACAUAAACUAAGUAUGAGCUACUCCCUACAACUAGUAAGAAGCUAAGUCUGCACUCACUCAAAGUGACACCCAUGAUACCUGUAACUUUUUGCAUCUCUUCCAAAAACUUCUGCAGAUCCUCCUCAAACUUGAUCUAGAAAACAAAAGGGUAUUCAUCCAAGUAACGUAUCGAAUCAUGGAUAUAGUCAUAUUUAAUAAUGGAUUGAUUGGAGCAAUAGCCUACUAGCUAUUUUGGGUAGCUGUAAAUUGAGACAAGGCUAUGAAGGUGGCCUUGAGCUUAGUAUGGAAAACAAGGUCAUACAUGGGAUCUUCCUAAAUAGGUGGUAGUGCAGGAUGAUAUCCAUUCCUUAUUACAUUAUUUCUUCUUAGAGGCAUUUUCUGUAAAUGAAAUAGUGGAUUAGUUAUAAAAAGGGAAUUUAAUAGAGCUAAUGCUCUUUUGCACGUCAUGAAUGAAAGAAGGGAAACUUACCAAAAAACUUCUCAUAGCCUCAUGCCCAUAAGUAUGGUUCUCUUAACACACAUGCAUAAGAAUCUACUCAAUAUGGAUUUAAGACACCCUAGGACACUUUAAAACUUUAGGCUCUAAAAUAAAGUUUUGUCAUGACUUGAGGCUUCCCUCUAGUCACGACAUGGUACUUAAGGCUACAAGUGACCCCAAGCUAACCCAUGAUCUGGUACAUAUUGUGAGAACUGAAUAAAAUAAAAUUGAAACAUCAUACGUGGAAGAUAAAUGGAUAAAGUUCUGAUAUGAUAUGAUAUAGCACUAAAAUAUAAACCAAUAUUUCUGAAAUAAUUGAAUAGACUAAAAAACUAGACUGCAGUCUAAAAGCCUCUAAAACAUAAGGAGUUGAUGGGACAAAUCCCCAACUAACUCAAAUUAUCUAAGAUAUAGAAAGUAUUAAAAAUAAAUUAAGAAAACAUUUGGUCCUCAUUGAAUAAGGACUCACCACUACUGUUGUUGAGAGGUAUUGAGUUGUCUAAGAAUAAUUAAGGUACUAUUCAUCCAAAACUAUAUUGUAAGACAACAUAGCAUAAAAGAAGAGUAUGUGAUCAAUACUUUGAAUGUACUCAUACGUAAGGUAAGGAAUAACUGGACAUACAUUACAAAAAUAAACACGAAUGCAUGAAUAAGUAAAAAUAAGAAUGCAUGACCAAGUAAAGGAUGUACUAAAAUAAUCUAUUAAACUAACUGACUGAAUAACUAAUAAACAGAAUCCUUCGUCAUGGAAACCUGAGCUGAUAUAAUCUGAAUACUAAACUAAACUAAAACUGUGGGAGUUAUUAUGUAACUGACAUGCCCUAAUCUGAGCUAAUCAGGGUUAAAACACCCUGGGUUUUUAGAACUAUAGAAAAUUUCAUAGAUUUUUAUUCUUUGGACAUCAUAUGACUAGGGGGUAUUAGUUAUAUGAUGGGGUACCAUUUGUAUAGUCUUGGUCGUAUGUUAACCAAUAUUGGCUGGUGGGUUUGAUUGGUUUUUAGUGUGGGUACAACUUGGGUGGGUACGAGUCAUAUGGUGGGUGAUGAUUCGUAUUGUUUAGUUUUUCUAUCACUCAAUCUGAAAUUUGGUAACUUAACUUGGAUCUGAGUACGAAUGGAUCACCAUGAGCCGCAAUAUUGGGUAUGAGUCAUACCAUGCACUUGUAUGGUGAAAAGUGUCCAAAUCCUCUUUGAUUUCCAUUUUAUGGCAGGUACGAGUCGAGGGUACAGGUCGUCUUAUAUGGUUGCAUAUUGUGCAAUGUUACGGUCCAAAGGGAGUCCUAGGGUAUGAGUAAUGGGUACCACUCGUAUGGUAGGAUACGACUGGUAUGGGGUGGUUAUACCCUCCUGCGGGAUUUUUAAAAAUUUAAGUAGGGGUAAUCUAUAAAUUUCCCUACUUAACCUCUUAAGGCCCCAUGAAAUAUAACUCUCUGGUUACAUCAUUUACCCUAAUAUUCUAAUCAUAAACACUUAGAAACUCUCAAAUUCUAUGGAAGGCUCUUGGUUUAAGAAAGGCUAGGACUUUAUCUAGAGGAUCGGCUUGUACGGGUGAUUUCUCUCUUUCGUCUUCAUAAUCUAAGGCAAGAUACUUCUCCCUCAUGGUUAGUUCCAACUAAAGGCAUAUUUUAUGAAUUAUUUUCAUGGCAUAAUUGUUUUAUGGUUUUGGGUUUUAAAUUAUAUGUUGGGGAUUUUGAUUUUAAAUGCUUGGUUAUGGUUUUACCAUGUUUUAAUUAUGGAUGUACAUACUUUAAUCGUGUCUUGGACAAUUGGUUGCAUGGAAAUGGUUAAUUGGUAAUUGGUUUUGGUGUUGGAAUCACUAUACCCCGACAUGUUUGAUAAAGUUCCUAUGAGAAUACUCUUACUAUAUUAUUAAACUUUUAAUGGAACUAUUGCAUGUUAUAACUUGGUAAUGGAACCUUAAAUGGCAUAAAUUGUUUAAAUGGUUUGGAAUGGUUAAAUGGUAAGGUCUUGGUGGUGAUGAUUAUAGUUAAUUAAACAUUCCUUGUGGGGUACGAGGAAAUCCCCAAAGUGGACCUAAUUAUAAACCACUUGUGGGGUACACGAGACUCCCCCGAGUCAACAUGAUAAUGAAACCUAUGGGUACAAAGAAAUACCUUAAUAUUUGAAAGGUUGGCUAAAGACAUUGCUUGCAAGCUAUAGUUGGUAUGAAGAUACCACUAUUUAUAUACUUAGUUAAUAACAAAUGGAAUGGUUGUCUUGGUUAUGUGGUAAUGGUUUUAAUUGGGUAAUAAUGGUGGGGUGUAAUUAUUAGCAAUGAAGGUGUUAGUCCAAUGGACGUACACUAGAAACUCAUGUUUUCCGCCAUGAGAAUUUGGUCAUGAUGACCAUAUGGGGUACAUGGCAAUCCCCUAAGUUACAUUUGUAUAUAUGCAUCAUAGAGCGCGAAGGAUACUUGGGAAUCCCCUACUCCUAUGGUAUCUUCGAUUCAUGUGGUUACACAAAUCGAGGCUCGAUCAGGGGGUAACACUUGACCCAUAUUUCCUGUGGGUGGUACUAGGAUGGUUAAGCUACACAUACCCAGGUUAAUGAUUUUAAAUGCAUGGUAAACCAAAUUUUCUUUCCUAACAUGAUUUUUAUAUAUAUACAUAUACAUAUAUAUCUACAUAUAUAGAUAGAUAGAUAGAUAGAUAGAUAUGGAUUUGUAUGCAUAUGGUUGGUUUACUAGGUUUUAAUGGUUUGCAUUAUUUUAUUCUUAUCUUGAGUACUUGUUAUUGUUUACCCGCUAACCCAUCUUCGGGCAUAUGUAUACUCACGCGAUUACUCCUACUUAGUGAUCAGAUUCAGGAUCAGCUAUGGGAUUAAAGUUGUGAGCUUCUAUAUUCUAGAAGCCUUUAUUUUAUAUCAUGGAUGUCUUUACAUACUUUUCGUCAUUUUAUGGAUAUUGGAUUUGGCUAUAGUUGGGGGCAUGUCCAAACCAAAUAUUGUUUUUCCUUUUAGUUAGUGUCUUUCUGGAACUACUAUGGGAUGGAAUGGGCAGUGUCUGUAUUUGUGUCCACCUUAAUUUUGGCAUUGGUAUUGGUUCUAACACCAUUUGACUGAAUUUAUGAUUGUUCCAUCCUUUUAUGUUAUGUUAUGAGCAGGAACUUAUUUUUUAUUUGUUUGGUUAUUGUUGUUGCUUUGUAUUAGAAGGUUGGACCUUUUUUUGUUUUUUCAUGGUUAUAGACCUAUCCCAGUGUCUUGAAUUGUAACAAAUGCUUCCUUGUUAUACUAUCGGAAUUCAUCCGACUCAAGGUAUAUGUAUUUUGACAUUACGUUGGGUAACAGGGGUAUUCUCCGAUCCUAGUUUGACUUGGGAUGUCCAUUAUGACAAGGCCUUGGUUUGGGUCAUGUAAAGUUGGUAUUAGAUCUUUAGGUUCAUAGUCAAUAGGUAAUCCACAAAAACAUGUCAAGUAGAGUCUCUUUUAAAGGUGUGUAGUGCGCCACACUUAUAAGGGAGAGGCUACAAGGCUUUAGGAAAUGUUUCUCUUCUUUGUGUUCUAUUUUCAAGCUUAGAUUCUAAGUUCUAGAAUCUUCUCUAAUUCUGUUGAAUCACUUCUCAAAUCAUUCCUUAAUGAUAUGAAGUUCACAAAAACUCCUCUAUCCCAACUAGGGAGAAUAUUGAUGGGACACGCUCUACUCAGGGGAUCCAUACUCGGUCUAGGUUCCUGUCCCUGAUAUUCUAGAGUUCUAAUGGUUCCUUCUAGUGUUCCUCAAGCUUAAGUAAUGAAUUUUAAGUUUUGUCAGUCAAUUCAUAUAAUUUCUCAGUUAGUAGUUUCUUAGUCUAAGCGCGGUGCAUAUAGUAUUGCAUUGUUUGAGGCCACAAGGGUUGGCCAAUUCAUGAAGAUGAGUUCUCUAACCUUUACUAGCAUUAAGGUAGAGUAUGAUCCUUAGGGUUUUUGGAUAAGAUGGAAAAGAUUUCUUAGAUUAUGCUGCCAUGAAUAUUGAAGGGCUUGAGUUUGCUUCUUAUUAGCUCAAAGAUAUAGCAUACCAAUGGUAUGAGAAAUAGGAUAGGGCAAGGGGUGAUGUUAUAAAAUCAUCCUUAUGGGAGACUUUCUCCAAUGUAUUUCUAAACUACUCUUUCCUCAAGAUCUGAGGGAAGCAAAAGUGGAGGAAUUUAUUAAUCUGAAAUAGGGAUAUUUAUCAAGGAGUAUGCCUUGAAAUUUUACCAGUUGUCAAGGUAUGCUCAAGAAAUAGUAACUGAUGAAAAUGCUUGGAUAAGAAAGUUUGCAUUGAGACUGUCUCAGGAUUUGAUCCUUGAAAUCAAGACUGCAUUACUGAUUGGGGACAUGGAUAUAUAUAGGUUAGUUGUUUAUAUUCAAUAGGUAGAUAAGAAAAGAAACAAGUUGAGAUAGGUGAAUGGAAAGGUAAGAGGUUUUUUUUAUCAAAGUAGUGGUCAAUAACAAAGUUUUCCUAAUGAUGGUAAGUGGCCAAAGAAGUAGGGGAAUUUUGAUUCCUUCUCCAUAUCUAGUACUCCUUACCUGAAUCAAUUGGGUGAUAGACAUAAUUAUGGUGGCAACAGCUUUAGGGAAUAGGGUUCCUAAUCUUAGGAAAGUAAGGCACAGACGGCUUUAUUGUGUCCUCUUAAAAGGUUCUACAGUCGGUUGAAUAGGGGUUACUAUGAUGAGAGAAGGGACAGGUGUUUUAAAUAUAGUUAGCCAUCCAUAUGCUUAGAAACUGUCUGGUUGGUAAGGUUUCUUUAGGAGCAAAUAAGGUUUCGGUUGCCUCUUCAUCUACUGCUACGCUGAAGGGUAUUAUUGCUUCUACAUCUAUUUCUGCUUUAGGUAUCAAUAUAGGUCGGAAUAGGUUUUAUGCUCUUGCUACUUGAUAGGAAUCUGAGGCGUCACUGAUGUCAUGGCUCGUACGUUACAACUUUUUUCUCAGGAUGUUUAUUAUUUACUUAAUCCACGAUUUACUCCCUCUUAUGUGACCCCAUUUGUUGUUGUGCAUUUUGAUUUUGAUCUCAAGGUUAUUUCAGAUAUUUUUUCUAUUUCUACCCGGAUAGUUGACUCUCUAGUUGCUCAAAGAGUCUAUACGAGGUAUGUGGUAUUUGUUGCUAGUAAGGAGACUUUGGUGGAUUUGUUUGAAUUAGAUAUGGUGGAUUUUAAUGUUAUCCUGGGUAUGGAUUAGUUACAUUCGUGCUAUACAUCACUAGAUUGUCAAACCUAUUGGGUUAUUUUUACAUUCCCUAGUGAACUAACUGGUUAUUGAAUGGAAGGGUGAUUCCUUAGCUCCUAAUGGGAAGUUUAUAUCCUAUCUUAGAGCCCAGAGAUUAAUCUCCAAGGGGUGUCUCUAUCAUCUAGUCUAGGUUAAAUAUUUUAACUGAAAAGGUCCUUCUUUGCAUUGGAUUUCGAUGGGGAAUGAGUUUCCUGAGGUUAUUCUAGGUGAUCUUCCUGAUGUUCCUCGAGAUAGGGAGAUUAAGUUUGGGAUAUAUUUGGCUUCGGACACACGUCCAAUAACUAUUCCUCUUUAUAGAAUGGCUCUGACUGAGUUGAGGCAACUUAAGGAGCAACAUAAGGAUAUCUUGGAUAAGGGUUUCAUCCAUCCUAGUGUGUCCCUUUGGGGUGCACCAACAUUAUUCAUGUGCAAGAAGGAUGGUUCCUUUUGGAUGUGUAUUGACUAUAGGCAGUUGAAUAUGGUGACGGUUAAGAACAAGUAUCCUCUCCCAAGGAUAAAUGACUUGUUUGAUCAGUGGCAAGGUGCAAAAUUCUUAUCCAAGAUAGAUCUUUGGUCUUAGUAUCAUCUGCUUAAUAUUAGGUAGGUGAAUAUCCAUAAGACAACUUUCCAUACUAGAUAUAGGAACUUUGAGUUCUUCGUGAUGUCAUUUGGUUUUGCCUAAUUUUGUGGUACCUAUAAUGGAUUUGAUGAAUAGGGUAUCCCAUAAGUUUCUGGAUUUUUUGUCAUUGGUUCACCGAUGAUAUCCUGAUAUAUUCUAAGAGCAAGGUGGAUCAUGCCAAUUACCUUCGUGUGGUGUUGCAGAUAUUGAAAGAGCAGCAGUUGUAUGGAAAUUAUGUAAAUGUGAAUUUUGGUUGAUCGUUGUUACUUUUCUUAAUUAUAUUAUUUCUAGUGGGGGAACAAUGGUGGAUCCACAAAAAGUGGUGGUGGUUAAGAAGUGUCCUAGACCCAUAACUUUAAACGAUAUUCGGAGCUUCACUGGGUAUUAUAGGAGGUUUAUGGAAAGUUUCUUGAUGAUAACUGCUUCAUUGACCAAGUUGACUCAUAAGAUGGUAAAGUUUUUUUGGUUGGAUGCCUCUGAAGGUAGUUUCGAAGAGAUGAAAGAGAAGAUAAAUUUGUCUCUAUUUUUGAAUUUGUCUGAGGGCAAUAAGGGGUUUGUCGUUUACUGCGAUGCAUCCUGGGUGGGACUUAGUUAUGUUUUAAUGCAGCAUGGUAAGGUGAUUGCUUAUACCUUUAGGCAGUUGAAAGUGCAUGACAAGAAUUAUCCUGCUCAUAAUUUAGAAUUGUUAGUUGUGAUUGUUGCAUUGAAGGUCUGGACACUAUUUGUAUGAAGUGCAUGUAGAUAUCUUCUUGGAUCAUAAAAGUUUGCAGUAUUUAUUUAUUCUGAAGGGGUUUAACCUCAGGCAGAGGAGAUGGCUUGAGCUUCUCAAGGACUAUGACAUGAGUCUUCACUACUAUCUAGGUUAGGAUAAUGUUAUUGCUAAUAUUCUUAGCAGGUUGUCCAUAAGGAGUUUAGCUUUUGUGGAAAAGGAGAAGCGGGAGUUGGUGAAUUGUAUUCAUCGCUUGGCUAAUCUUACAGUUUUUCUUUUGGACUCCAAGAAUGGUGGUAUAUUGGUACAGGAAGUGGUUCAGUCGGCUCUUGGUGCAGAGAUCAAAAAGUAAAUGCUAGAUCCUAUCUUGAUAAAAAAACAAGGGUGAUAUAGGUGGGCAAAUGUUAAUGGUAUUUGAGAUCAGUGGUGAUGGUACCUUGUUGUACCAAAGGUGAUGUCGAUGGUUUGGGACAAAGGAUAUUAUUUGGGGUGCAUGAAUUGCUCUACAUUGUUCAUCCUAAUUCAAUGAAAGUGUAUCAUAAUCUCAAGGAGAUGUACAAUGGUAUAAAAAAGGAUGUGGCUAAUUUUGUGGCCAAGUGUUUAGUGUGUUAAAAGGUGAAAGUUGAGCUCAUACGGCCUGGUUGAUUAUAUCAAGGAAUGGAUUUUUUGAAAUGGAAAUGGGAGGUGAUCAAUAUAGAUAUCGUUACCGGUUUUCCUCAGUUUCGAAAUCAAUUUGAUUCAAUUUGGGUAAUUGUAGAUAGGAUGACAAAUUCGUCUCUUUUUUCUAGUAAGGACUAACUUUUUGGUGAAGGAUUAUCUGAGGUUGUAUCUUCAUGAGAUUGUGAAGCUAUAAAGGGUACCUAUUUCUAUUAUCUUUGAUCGUGGUAUGCAAUUUUCAUCUCACUUUUGUCAGUCAUUUUAGAAGGGGUUGGGUACUAAGGUUAGUCUGAGUAUUGUUUAUCACCAGCAGAUAGAUGGGCAAGCAGAAAGGACUAUUCAUACAUUUAAAGAUAUGCUUCAUGCAUGUGUGAUUGAUUAUGGCGGUAAUUGUAUUGAAUGUCUACCUCAUGUAGAGUUUGCUUACAAUAAUAGGUAAUAUUUCUUUGAGGCAUUGCAUGGUAGGAGGUGUAGGUCUCCUAUUGGGUGGUUCGAGGUUGGUGAGGCGGCUAUGUUUGGUCCAAACUUGGUUCAUCAGGCUAUGGAAAAGUUGAAGGUGAUUCGAGAUUGGCUUAAGGUUGCUCAAAGUUGCCAAAAGACCUAUGUAGAUGUAAGGCAUAGAGACUUGGAGUUUGAGUCUGGGGAUACGGCGUUCCUAAAGGUGUCUCCCAUGAACGGAGUAAUGUGGUUUCAUAAGAAGGGGAAGCUCAGUCCCUGGUAUAUUGGUCCUUUUGUGGUUUUGAGCAGGGUUGGUAAUUUUUCUUAUGAAUUGUAAUUGCCUUCUAGUUUGAGCUCCAUUCAUUCGGUAUUUUAUGUCUCUAUGUUGACAAAGUUUUUUGGUGAUCCUUGUUUAGUUAUUCCUUUUGAAGGAUUAGGCAUUUAAGAUUCUCUGUCUUAUGAAAAGAUCUCGAUUGAGAUCUUAGAUUGGUAGAUUCAUCGAUUACGAACAAAGGAUGUUGCCUCGGUUAAUGUUGUAUGGCGGAUCUAUAAGGUGGAAGAGGCUAGUUGGGAAGCAAAAGAGGACACUUCAGUAUCUGCACUUGUUUUUUGCUUUGGAAGUUCGUCCAGAAGGUAUGUGUUGUUGAUCACAUCUUUUUUUCUAACUUAGCUAAAGGCUAGAUUGAUUUUUUAUAAUGCAAUGACUCAUGUUUUUGCUUACCCUACCCAUCAUUCGAGGACGAAUGAUCCUAGUGUGGGAGACUGAAACACCCCAAAUUUUUGGAACCUUAGAAAAUUUCCUAGAUUUCUAAUUUCUGGACAUCAUACGACUAGGGGGUACUAGUCGUAGAUGGGGUAUGGUUGGUAUGGUCUUGGUCGUAUGUUAACCAGUAUUAGUUGGUGGGUUGGAUUAGUUUCUAGUAUGGGUACGAAUUGGGUGGGUACGGGUCUUAUAAUGGGUGACAGUUCAUAGGUUUGGUUUUUCCAUCACUUAAUCUAAAACUUGUUAACUUAACAUUAAUCUGAGUACGAAUGGCACACUAUGAGCCGUAAGAUAGGGUAUGAGCCGCUCCAUUCACUUGCAUGGUAUAUAGUGUCUAAGUCCUCUUUGAUUUUUAUUCUGUGGUAGGUAUGGGUCAAGGUUAUAGGUCGUAUGAUUCAAUACGACUUGGCUUGGAUGUUCUUACGAUGGGCAGUAUUGGGGUCCAAGCAUAGGCCUAUGGUAUGAGUGAUGGGUACCACUCAUACGAUGGGGUACGACUGGUAUGGGGUCGUCAUACCCUCCAGUGGGAUUUUUAUACAUUUAAGUGGAGGUAAUCUGGACAUUUCCCAACUUAACCUCUUAAGGCCCCUCAACUUAUAACUCUCUUGGGACAUCAUUUAUAGUAAUAUUCUAAUCUUAAACACUUAAAAACUCUCUCAAAUUCUCUCUAAGCUCUUGGGUAAGGAAAGGCUAGAUAUUUCUCCCUCAUUGUUAGUUCCAACUAAAGGCAUAUUUUAUGAAUUGUUUUCAUAGCAUAAUUGUUGUAUGGUUUUAGGUUUUCAAUCAUAUAUUGGGGGUUUUGGUUAUGAAUUCUUGGUUAUGGUUUUCCCAUGUUUUAACUAUGGACUUACAUACUUUAAUGGAGGCUUGUACAAUUGGUUUCAUAGGAAUGGUUAAUUGGUAAUUGGUUUUUGUUUGGAAACACUAUGCUCCUACAUGUUUGAUAAAAUGCCUAUGAGAAUAUUUUUACUAUAUUGUUGGACUCUUAAUGGAACUAUUGCAUGAUAUAACUUGGUAAUGGAACCCUAAAUAGCAUAAAUGGUUUAAAUGGUUUGGAAUGGUUUAAUGGUAAGGUCUUGGUAGUAAUGGUUAUGGUUAAUUAAGCAUUCCUUGUGGGCCCUCCAAGUGAACCUUUUUAUAAAACACUUGUGGGGUACACGGGACUCCCUCCCAAGUCAACUUUAUAAUAAAACCUAAGGGUACAAGGGAAUCCCUUAAUCUUUGAAAGGUUGGCUAAGGACAUUGCUUGCAAGCUAUAGGCGGUAUGAUGAUACCACUAAUUAUAGACUUGGUUAAUAACAAAUUGAGUGGUAGUCUUAUUUAUGUGGUAAUGGUUUUAAUUGGGCAAUAAUGGCAAGGUGUGAUAGCUAACCGUGAAGGUGUAAGUCCAAUAGACAUACACUGGAAGCUUAUGUUUGUCGGUAUGAGGAUUUGGUCAUGAUGACCAUAUGGGGUACAUGGGAAUCCCCUAAGUUACACUUUUUUAUAUGUAUCAUGGAGAGCGAAUGGUACUUGGGAAUCCACUACUCCUAUGGUAUCUCCAGUUUGUGCGGCUACAUACAUCGGGGCCUGUUAGGGGUUACACUUGACCUAUAUAGCCCGUGGGUGGUACUAGGACGGUUAAGCUACACAUACCUAGGUUAAUGGUUUUAAAUGUAUGCUAAAAUUGGUUCCAUUUCCCGGCAUGUUUUAUAUACAUAUAUAUAUAUAUACAUACAUAUAUAUAUGUAUGUAUAUGUACGGAUUUGUAUGCAUAUGGUUGAUUUACUUGGUUUUAAAGGUUGUCAUGAUCUUAUCCUUAUCUUGAGUAAUUGUUAGUAUUUACUCGCUAACCCAUCUUUGUGUGGCUAUAUCCCCAUGCAAUGCAGAGACCGACCAUUCUACUACUCUUGCUUAGCGAUCAAACUCGGGAUCAGCUAUUGGAUUGAAGUGGUGAGCUUCCAUAUUUUGUAAGGCUCCAUUUCAUAUCAUGGUUGUCUUUACAUACUUCUGUCAUUUUAUGGAUAUUGGUUUUAGCUAUGGUUGGGGGCAUAUCCCAACCAAAUUUUAUUUUUUCCUUUUAUUAGUCUUUUUAGAAAUACUAUGGGUUAGAAUGGGCGGUGUCGGUAUUGGUGACAGCCUUACUAUUAGCAUUGGUAUUGGGGCUUAUACCAUCUGACUGAAUUUAUGAUUGUUCUAUCAUUUUGUAUUAUAAAAAUAAACUUGUUUUUGUAUUAUUUUGGUUAUGGUUGUUGGUUGGUAUUGGACGGUUGGACUUGUUUGGGUUAGUCACGGUUAUAGACCUAUUCCACAGUCUAGAAUUUUAAUAAAGGCUACCUUGUUAUACAGUCAGAAGUCAUCCAACUCAGGGUAUACGUAUUUUGAGGUUAGGUUGGGUAAUAGGGGUAGUCUCCAGUCCUGGUUGAACUUGGGAUGCCCAUUAUGAGAAGGCCCUGGUUUGGGUCAUGUUAAGGAUCCAACCUAUAACCCUAGUUUGAUGGGUAUCAGUACCUUACCAUAGGUACUUACACUGGCUGUGUGGAUCCACUAAAUUGGUGUCCCAAAGGACUAGGGUGUUAGUACACUACUGGCGGGUAACCCUUAAAAGAAUGUCAGUCCUCUACUGGUGGGUGACAUAUCAUAACCUAUGAUGGCUAUGUAGUUCUAGAACUUAGAUAUUUCUACUAAAGUUCUUAGUCCUCUACUGGCGGGUGAGCUUUUAUCCCUAGGUUCGCUUGAUGCUAAUCCUACUCCCAACUUAACUGUCACUAGUAUUGAUUACUGUUAACUAAACUCAUAACUAAUAGUGCUCAGCAUGAGCAUAACAGAACUGACUAUGAUAAUGGAAUUAAUGAUUUAACUAACUUAGUACUUGAAAAUCUGAAACAUGAGUAAACACAGAGGUAUUGGGUGUUCAUAACCCUCCCGUGUUAAAUGAUACUAAAAUACGAUUACACCACUUAAAAAUUUAUAGAAAGUUAUAAUUCAGAGACCAAAACAAAAAUACAUUUCAAAGAAUGACUGAGAUACAUGAAUUUGAAAUGGGGAGGUGUUAAACUUGGGAGGAUAACAAUAUAUUAUGGUUUCAUUCAUAACUUGAUAAUUUGACAUGGGGUCAAUUGAAUAUGACAUGGGUAAUUGCAAUUCAAAGUAUGAAAUAACCUAAUUUACACAGGAAAACACGUUGACAAGGCUUGAAUUCAAAUUACUAAGAAAAACAACAACAUGGAUUAAAUUCAUAUUUAAUCCUGAUAAAUUUCACAAAAGAGAAUGCGCAUUCAUUUGAUCCUGAUCCUUGUGGAUCGAAAGGUAGACUAGACUGGACCUGCACGGCCCUCCUAAUAAUAUCCAUAAAUGAGUUGUUUUUGGUAAUAGAUGAACAUUACCGCAUGUAAAUUCUGGUGCAUGAUAGACACCGGUACUCCAGUGCAUUUCUCCAUCUGAAUCAGAAUAAAUAUGUUUUCAAACCUUCUCUUUAAAAUUUAAAGUGGAUAUUCCUGCGCGAAUAUCAGUAAUUACUUGUUCUGAUUCUACAUAUUGAUCGUUUUGAACUAAAAGCAAACUUUUGGGUGGAAUAUUCACAUUAUGUAGAAUAUCUUCACUCUCAAUAGUUACAUACAAGUCUAUAGAACAUAGAAAGGCGGGAUGCCCAUGACGUGUACGUAUCGAAUGAACCAAAUCCUCAUUGAAUUUUAUUUUUCCAUUAGAUGGGGCUCGCACAUGUUCUACAGUACCCCCCGUGAAUACUCCUACAGUAUGAAAAGUUCUUAAUAUUAAUUGAGUACCAGGUUCUCCAAUCGAUUGACCUGUAAUAAUACCUACAGCUUCCCCCAACUCAACCAGGUCGCCAUGAGUAGGACUCCGGCCAUAACAUAAUCGACAAAUCCAAGAUGUACUCCUACAAGUAAAGGGAGUUCGAAUAGAGAUUGGUUGUGCCCGAAAGGUUAUGAAUUGAUUUACAAGUCCAAUGCCAAUGUCUUGGUUUCUAGUGGCAAUACAUCGUGAACCCAUGUAUAUAUCAUCUGCUAAUACACGGCCAAUUAAUGUUUGACUAAAAAUCCUUUCCGGCAUCAUCUCAUUCCAAGGACUCACAGAAAUACCCCGGGCGGUGCCACAAUCCAUUCAACGAACAACAAUGUGUUGAACUACUUCAACAAGUCUGCGAGUGAGAUAUCCAGUGUCUGAUGUUCGUACAGCAGUAUCCACAACUCCUUUACGGGCUCCGUAGCAAGAAAUGAUGUAUUCUGUUAAAGAGAGUCCUUCGCACAAAUUGUUUUGAAUAGGUAAAUCAAUCAUUUGUCUUUGAGGAUCUGACAUUAAUCCUCGCAUACCUACUAAUUGAUGUACCUAAGAUGCAUUUCCUCUAGCUCUCAAGAAAGACAUUAUAUGAACUGGAUUAAAAGGGUCAGUCAUCAUAAAUUUCGAAUUCAUUUCUUGUCGCAAAUAUUCACUUGUAGCAUACCAUAUUUCAAUGGAUUGACGUAAUUUUUCUACCGUGUGUACAUUCCCAUAAUGAUGGUGUUUUUUCAAAAUCAAGCUUUGUUGUUCAGCAUCUUGAGCGAGCCAUCCCUUAGAAGGUAUUGUUAAAAGGUCAUCAAUUCCUAAUGAAAUGGAUGUAGCAGUAGCUUGUUGGAACCCCAGAAUUUUUACUUGAUCUAGGAUAUGUGAUAUAUAUGCCAUUCCGAAGUGCUCUAUUAAUCUACUAAUAAGUCAUUUCAUGGAAGUUCCGUCUAUCGCUUUAUUGUGAAAGACCAGAUUGGGCCGUUCUGCCAUAGGUACCUCUAUAUUUCGCUGAGUAGGAUUCGACAAUGGGUUUGAGUCAGUGAUUGUAAAACUUCCUUUUAUCGAUCUUGAUUCACGUAUAAAUUCUGAAACUAUGUACCUAGCUGAACCGAAGAACCCCAAAGUCCCACGGUAUCAUAUAAUUACGUUAGGUACCAUAUGAAUAGGCUCGAGAAAACCCCUAUAUAGCUUCUUUGAUUUCUCGAUAAAGAGCAAUAUGACCAACAGUGGUUUGAAUGUAUAUAAAAAGGAUUUGUUUUUGUAGACUUCUUACUAUUAGAUAGUGUCCAUAAAUCUCAUAAAAGAACCUAAAGAUUCAUAGUGAACUUCGAUGGGAGUUUCUCUUGAAGCAAUAACGCGGUUAUCUAGUCACCACCGGAGCCACAAAGGACUAUCUAAAUUGAUUCGUUUCUGCCGAUAAGCCCAAAUUGCAUCAUAGGAAUUCAAAAAAAGGGGUUCUUUCGUAUACUUAUAGUAACUAUUGUCACUUCUUUUUUGAUUUUGAUAGUUUCUGCAAUUAUAUGGAUUAUAUCUAUUUACACAAAUACCUCGAUGAUUUCCGCUCGUUAAUACAUAGAGUCCAAUAAGCAUAUCUUGGAUUGGUACGAAAAUGGGAUCCCCAAUAGUCGGAGACAAAAGAUUCAUAUGAGAAAACAUGAGUAAACAGGCCUCUACUUGAGCCUCCAAGGAUAACGGUACAUGAACAGCCAUUUUAUCUCCAUCAAAAUCGGCAGUGAAUCCCUUGCAAACUAAUGGAUGUAAGCAAAUAGUGCGCCCCUCCACUAAAAUGGGCUGGAAUGCCUGUAUGCCUAAUCUAUGCAGAGUGGGUGAUCUAUUUAGCAAUACAGGAUGUCCUUGCAUAACUUCUUGAAGGAUUUCCCAUACAAUCGGCUCUUUUUCUCGAAUUUUACUCUUAGCAACUCCUAUGUUUAAAGCAAGAUGUUUUCUAAUUAGACCAUGAAUUACAAAUGUCUGGAAAAGUUCUAUUGCUAUUUCAUGAGGCAAUCCACAUCGAUGUAAUGAAAGUGAAGGACCCACGCCAAUGACAGAACGUCCUGAAUAAUUAACUCAUUUUCCAAGUAGAGUCUCACAAAAUCUUCCCUCUUUGCCUUCAAUUACAUCAGAAAAUGACUUGUAAACUUUAUUAUGACCAUCCCUCAUUGGUUGUGCUCGGAUUCCAUUAUCAAGAAGUGUAUCCACGGCUUCUUGUACUAAUUUCUCCUGACACAUUUCUAAUUCUCCUAGAGUAGAUCUACUUGUUGUUAAUAGAUUGGUAAGGGUAUUGUUCUGAUAGAUAACUCUUCUAUAGAGUUCAUUAAUAUCUGAGCUCAUUAGUUUACCCCCAUCUAUCUGAAUGAUCGAUCUCAACUCAGGAGGAAGAACUGGUAAUAGACACAAAACCAUCAAUUCUGGCUCUAUAUUUGUUCGAAUAAAAUGCUUAGCCAAUUCCACGCAUCUAACCAAAAAGUCCUUUCUUCUUUCAACCUUUCGAUCUUCCCAUUCAUUCCCUGUGUGCCAUUCUUCCCCCAAUUCUUCCCAUUCCACCAACGAAUUCUCUAUAUAAUUCAUAAAUCUAGAUCAACUAAUUGUUCUCAGAUAGCACCUACACCAGUAGAGAUUUGUCGAUUGUGAAAUGUAUCGAAACCCUGGGUAGUAAAAAAAUUGGGAUGCUGUAUUUCCAAAACCUGGUAAAGAGCCGCCCGAUUUGGAUUUGUACAUAUAGGACAAAUGCUCUCAUUACCAUUUCUUUUUGUAUUUCUUUUUUUUUUUCAAUUCAUUUUAUACAAGUAUUUAUUAGAGUUGAGAUAACUUUGCUUGACAAUUAGGAUCUCUUUACAAAUUACAAAAAAAAAAUAUGAAUAGCAAUCAUAGAUAUCUUACCAAUCCAAUUGGGUUUUUUCUAAACGGAGCCUGGAUACUUCAUUUUUUUAGUCCAACCAAGCCAACCAUAAAUUAUUCUAAUUGAUAAUAGUAAUAUGAAUCCUCUCAAAAAUGGAUCUAAUUGCACUUCACGCUCCAAAUUUUUGAUGAUUUAAUUUAUCAUUUUAUCAUUCUUGGGCGAAAUGGGGGAUAUCUCGAUCAGGGGAGAGAACGGGGAAAUACCAUAUAACCCAAUAUAUCUGAUAAGUCGCACUAUAUGUCAACCCAAAGUAGAUUUGCCUCUCCGAGACCUCGAAAGGGAACUUUCGGAACACCAAUAGGCAUUAAAUGAAAGAAAGAACUAAAUACUAUAUUUCACUUUGAGGUGGAAACGUAACAAUUUUUUUACUGUACUUAGAAUAUUCAUAUUAGUUCUUAUCGUAUUUAUUUUAUCCAUAGAUUCUAAAAAUUCAUAAAGAAAGACAGAAUGAAUAAACUCAAAUUAUUACGAAUAGGUCUUUCUAAUGAUAAAUAAGUAUGGACUCAUUCGCUCAUAGAAAAUGAGAUCAACUCCCCCAUUGCGUAUUAGUACUUAUCGAGUAUAGAAUAAAUCUGCUUCUCUUUGUUCCUACGAAUAGAAUUGUUCUAUUAUUACCACCAGAAUAGCACACCCUUGAUUCAAAAAUAAUCGACUGAACAAGAGUGGUCCAUAGGAUAGUCAUAUUAUAGUCUUUUCCAAUGCAAUAAAGUUAUGGAGUAUUUAUUUAUCUUUGAUAUAAGGGGUAUUUCCAUGGGUUUGCCUUGGUAUCGUGUUCAUACCGUUGUAUUGAAUGAUCCCGAUUAGUUGCUUUCUGUUCAUAUAAUAGAUACAGCUCUGGUUGCUGGUUAGGCCGGUUCGAUGGCUCUGUAUGAAUUAGCAUUUUUUAAUCCUUUUGAUCCUGUUCUUGAUCCAAUGUGGAGACAGGGUAUGUUCAUUAUACCCUUCAUGACUCAUUUAGGAAUAACCAAUUCAUGGGGCGGUUGGAGUAUCACAGGGGGGACUAUAAUGAAUUCGGGUAUUUGUAGUUAUGAAGGUGCAGCGGGAGCACAUAUUGUGUUUUCUGGCUUAUGCUUUUUGGCAUCUAUCUGGCAUUGGGUGUAUUGGGAUCUAGAAAUAUUUUGUGAUGAACACACAGGAAAACCCUCUUUGGAUUUGCCAAAGAUCUUUGGAAUUUAUUUAUUUCUCUCAGGGGUAGCUUGCUUUGGUUUUGGUGGAUUUCAUGUAACAGGCUUGUAUGGUCCCAGAAUAUGGGUGUUCGAUCCUUAUGGACUAACGGGAAAAGUAAAACCUAUAAAUCCAGCGUGGGGCAUGGAAAGUUUUGAUCCUUUUGUUCCAGGAGGAAUAGCCUCUCAUCAUAUUGCAGUAGGAACAUUGUGCAUAUUAGCGGGCCUAUUCCAUCUUAGCAUCCAUCCACCACAACGAGUAUACAAAGGAUUGCGUAUGGGAAAUAUUGAAACCAUCCUUUCCAGUAGUAUUGUUGCUAUCUUUUUGUAGCUUUUGUUGUUGUCGGAACUAUGUGGUAUGGUUCGGCAACUACCCCGAUUAAAUUAUUUAGGCCCACUCGUUAUCAAUGGGAUCAGGGGUACUUCCAGCAAGAAAUAUAUCAAAGAGUUAGUGCUGGGCUAGCAGAAAAUCAAAGUUUAUCAGAAGCCUGGCCUAAAAUUCCUGAAAAAAAAUUAGCUUUUUAUGAUUAUAUCGGCAAUAUUCCGGCAAAAGGAGGAUUAUUCAGAGCAGGUUCAAUGGAUAACAGGGAUGGAAUAACGAUUGGAUAGUUAGGACACCCUAUCUUUAGAGAUAAAGAAGGGCGUGAACUUUUUGUACGUCGUAUGCCUACUUUUUUUGAAACAUUUUUGGUCGUUUUAGUAGACGGCGAUGGAAUUGUUAGGGUUAAUGCUCCUUUUAGAAGGGCAGAAUCGAAGUAUAGUGUUGAACAAGUAGGUGUAACUAUUGAGUUCUACAGCGGUGAACUCAACGGCAUCAGUUAUAGUGAUCUUGGUACUGUGAAAAAAUAUGCUAAAUGUGCUCAAUUGGGUGAAAUUUCUGAAUUAGAUCGUGCUACUUUGAAAUCCGAUGGUGUUUUUCAUAGUAGUCCAAGGGUUCAUUUACUUUUGGGCAUGCUUUGUUUGCUUUGCACUUCUUCUUCGGACACAUUUGGCAUGGUGCUAGAACCUUGUUCAGACAUGUUUUUGCUGGUAUUGACCCAAAUUUAGAUGCUCAAGUUGAAUUUGGGGCAUUCCAAAAACUUGGAGAUCCAACUACAAAAAGACAGGCAGCCUGAUACAACAUUGCUUUGGUAUCUUUCUUUUUCCCUUAUUUUCUUUCUUUUACUUUUAUUGACAUAGGGUACCAGAGAAAUCUUUAUUUGAAUCAACUUCGUUUUUACUCUUGUUCGUUCUUUAUCUGGAAGAUGAUAAAAAAAAGAAAAUAAAAAGAAACAAACAGGUAUGAAAGCUAUAAUUGUAAACCACGAUCGAAUCUAUGGAAGCAUUGGUUUAUACAUUCCUCUUAGUCUCGACUCUAGGGAUAAUUUUUUUCGCUAUCUUUUUUCGAGAACCGCCUAAAGUUCCAACUAAAAAGAACUAAAAAGGGGAAUGAAUUUUUCAUUAUCUCAGU